AUUGAACGCUGGCGGCAGGCCUAACACAUGCAAGUCGAACGAGUGGCGGACGGGUUAGUAAUGUCUGGGAAACUGACCGAUGGAGGGGGAUCACUACUGGAAACGGUAGCUAAUACCGCAUACAUUCGGAUGUGCCCAGAUGGGAUGAGCUCGUAGGUGGGGGAAAGGCGCACCAAGACGACGAUCCCUAGCUGGUCUGAGAGGAUGACCAGCCACACUGGAACUGAGAUACGGUCCAGACUCCGACGGGAGUCAGCAGGGGGGAAUAUUGCACAAUGGGCGAAAGCCUGAUGCAGCCAUGCCGCGUGUAUGAAGAAGGCCUUCGGGUUGUAAAGUACUUUAAGCGAGGAGGCGUUACUCGCAGAAGAAGCACCGGCUAACGCCGUGCCAGCAGCCGCGGUAAUAC
Molecule: ribosomal RNA, 406 nt
Filed under: uncultured bacterium
Lineage: Bacteria
Description: partial 16S ribosomal RNA
Rfam family: Bacterial small subunit ribosomal RNA
Source: RNAcentral